UGGACCCCUCCUGUUUUCAGUAGGGGGAACUCAGGGGUUCGGGCAAACCGGGGAAGGUGGGGAUGAUCAGGUCUCUUCCUUCGCCAGGGUCCCGGUCAAUGGCGUCAGAGGGUCCAACUCGCGAGAGUGACCAAUCCCUUAAAACGGUGUAGUCCGGAUCGGAGUUGCAACUGACUCCGGAAGUGGAAUCGUAGUAAUCGGAAUCAGAAUGUCGCGGUGAAUACGUUCCCGGGCCUUGUACACACCGCCCGUCACACCAUGGGAGUGGAUUGCACCAGAAGUAGUUAGUUAACCUUCGGGAGGACGAUUACCACGGUGUGGUUCAUGACUGGGGUGAAGUCCCCCCCACCAGAGAUCCUCGGGCAGAAU
RNAcentral lists this ribosomal RNA (369 nucleotides) under Marinobacter sp. VKRKPb4. RNAcentral's name for it is "bacterial SSU rRNA". It matches the Rfam family "Bacterial small subunit ribosomal RNA", at positions 1098 to 1511 of the family's 1533-position model. Lineage: Bacteria; Pseudomonadati; Pseudomonadota; Gammaproteobacteria; Pseudomonadales; Marinobacteraceae. The record is from RNAcentral.